Molecule: ribosomal RNA, 402 nt
Filed under: Triticum aestivum (bread wheat)
Lineage: Eukaryota; Viridiplantae; Streptophyta; Magnoliopsida; Poales; Poaceae
Description: partial small subunit ribosomal RNA
Source: RNAcentral
AUGGCGAACGCCGCCCUUCUUCUCCUCAUCACUGUGCUGGCCACUACCAGCGGCAUCACUUCAGCCACGGCCGGCCGCAGCGGAACCCAGCAGCCGGCGGCAAGGAGAAGUCGUUUUCUGCUUGUUGGUGGCGCUGCACACCUGCCUUUGCCAACCUACGACUGCUCGAAGAAGUUGAUCGAAGCAUGCCUCGCGACGGGGACGACGUGCUGCAGCGGCCAGUGCGUGGACACCGUCGCCAGCGCCCAGCACUGCGGCGGUUGCAACAAGGCGUGCAAGCACGGCCGGACGUGUUGUGGCGGGCGCUGCGUGGAUCUGCUCUCCGACAAGAAGAACUGUGGCACUUGCUCUAACCAAUGCAGCAACAAGUGCGGCUACGGCUUCUGCGACUACGCGCAGUAA